This 73-nucleotide transfer RNA is filed under the name Streptomyces millisiae. RNAcentral describes it as "Streptomyces sp. DSM 44918 tRNA-Leu". It matches the Rfam family "tRNA". Rfam says of the family: Transfer RNA (tRNA) molecules are approximately 80 nucleotides in length. Their secondary structure includes four short double-helical elements and three loops (D, anti-codon, and T loops). The record is from RNAcentral. RNAcentral also lists the same sequence under 1 other name. Lineage: Bacteria; Bacillati; Actinomycetota; Actinomycetes; Kitasatosporales; Streptomycetaceae.
GCCCGGGUGCGCCAACGGAAGAGCGAGCGCGCGCAAGACGCGUGGGAUGUCGGUUCGAAUCCGACACCGGGCA